This 331-nucleotide ribosomal RNA is filed under the name uncultured bacterium. RNAcentral describes it as "bacterial SSU rRNA". It matches the Rfam family "Bacterial small subunit ribosomal RNA", at positions 568 to 898 of the family's 1533-position model. The record is from RNAcentral.
CGCGUAGGCGGAUGUUACAGUCAGGCGUGAAAUUCCUGGGCUCAACCUGGGGGCUGCGUUUGAUACGUGAUGUCUGGAGUUCGGAAGAGGGUCGUGGAAUUCCCAGUGUAGAGGUGAAAUUCGUAGAUAUUGGGAAGAACACCGGUGGCGAAGGCGGCGACCUGGUCCGAUACUGACGCUGAGGCGCGAAAGCGUGGGGAGCAAACAGGAUUAGAUACCCUGGUAGUCCACGCUGUAAACGAUGUGCGCUGGAUGUUGGGUGACAUAGUCAUUCAGCGUCGUAGCUAACGCGAUAAGCGCACCGCCUGGGGAGUACGGCCGCAAGGUUGAA